RNAcentral lists this ribosomal RNA (253 nucleotides) under uncultured bacterium. RNAcentral describes it as "partial 16S ribosomal RNA". It matches the Rfam family "Bacterial small subunit ribosomal RNA", at positions 524 to 776 of the family's 1533-position model. The record is from RNAcentral.
UACGUAGGGGGCUAGCGUUGUCCGGAAUCAUUGGGCGUAAAGCGCGUGUAGGCGGUCCGGUAAGUCUGCUGUGAAAGCCAGGGGCUCAACCCUUGGAUGCCGGUGGAUACUGUCGGGCUCGAGUACGGAAGAGGCGAGUGGAAUUCCUGGUGUAGCGGUGAAAUGCGCAGAUAUCAGGAGGAACACCAAUUGCGAAGGCAGCUCGCUGGGACGUUACUGACGCUGAGACGCGAAAGCAUGGGGAGCAAACGGG